RNAcentral lists this unclassified non-coding RNA (408 nucleotides) under fungal sp. Its description in RNAcentral is "partial internal transcribed spacer region". Lineage: Eukaryota; Fungi. The record is from RNAcentral.
AAGUCGUAACAAGGUUUCGGAAGGAAUGCAAGUACUACGGAAACCAACAAGAGACAUACGACCUUUGUUCUAGAUGAGUCAAGUCGAGUUGCCUUUGCCUUCAAGUCUCUUAGUUCUUCUUUUCAAUCCGCAAAGAAGAGCAACAUCAACCAAUUGCGAUCGUUCCUUUGACGGUUGAUCGAUCGAAAGCAAGAACUAUUCGAUGUGAAUCGAUAGGCACUAUGUUUCGUUCGAUCUAUAGACGAGGAGUUCGUAACCAAGCUCUUAUGGUAUCAACAUAAGAGUGCAGUCCACAGACUAAACGUUGAUGUCUUGAUUGGAUAAGUGUAGCUAACGCUACACUUUUCUGGUCAAUUCAUUCUCUAUAUAACUAUAGAACAACUCUUAGCAACGGAUAUCUUGGUUCUC